CGGGCACAUCUGAGCAAUGACUUCCAGACAGGCCUCAUUCAGGAAAUGACAGCAUGCCAACUCAAGGCACACCAACUGGGAACCGCACACUUUCAAGAACCUACUCCAAAUAAGGAAUAAGACAAAUAGGAAAAAAAGGUGACAUUACCCCAUGAGGUAUCAAAAUACAGGAAUGGAAGAGGUGACUUAAGGCUGCAGUGGCUUCAGCGCAUAGAUUUCCUCCUUGGAGAAUCGCCCUAUCCCAUGUCCAUACAUCUCCCGCUUCACGAUGCCCCUGGUGAGGUGACUGAGGAUCCACUUGAGAAGAUCACUGAGCGGGCCUGAGAGACAAAGCAUCUUCUGGGUCUCCUGGAGAUUGUCAACCCACUGGCAAUAAGCAAUAGUCC
Acipenser ruthenus (sterlet) is the source of this 386-nucleotide long non-coding RNA. RefSeq lists it as uncharacterized. The transcript has 3 exons. Lineage: Eukaryota; Metazoa; Chordata; Actinopteri; Acipenseriformes; Acipenseridae. The record is from RefSeq and is a predicted model, not a curated record.